UGCGGAAGGAUCAUUACCGAGUGAGGGCCCUCUGGGUCCAACCUCCCACCCGUGUCUAUCGUACCUUGUUGCUUCGGCGGGCCCGCCGUUUCGACGGCCGCCGGGGAGGCCUUGCGCCCCCGGGCCCGCGCCCGCCGAAGACCCCAACAUGAACGCUGUUCUGAAAGUAUGCAGUCUGAGUUGAUUAUCGUAAUCAGUUAAAACUUUCAACAACGGAUCUCUUGGUUCCGGCAUCGAUGAAGAACGCAGCGAAAUGCGAUAAGUAAUGUGAAUUGCAGAAUUCAGUGAAUCAUCGAGUCUUUGAACGCACAUUGCGCCCCCUGGUAUUCCGGGGGGCAUGCCUGUCCGAGCGUCAUUGCUGCCCUCAAGCACGGCUUGUGUGUUGGGCCCCCGUCCCCCUCUCCCGGGGGACGGGCCCGAAAGGCAGCGGCGGCACCGCGUCCGGUCCUCGAGCGUAUGGGGCUUUGUCACCUGCUCUGUAGGCCCGGCCGGCGCCAGCCGACACCCAACUUUAUUUUUCUAAGGUUGACCUCGGAUCAGGUAGGGAUACCCGCUGUACUUAAGCAUAUCAAUAAGCCGGAGGAAGGAUC
RNAcentral lists this ribosomal RNA (590 nucleotides) under Aspergillus fumigatus. Its description in RNAcentral is "eukaryotic LSU rRNA". The stretch from base 202 to 355 matches the Rfam family "5.8S ribosomal RNA". The record is from RNAcentral. Lineage: Eukaryota; Fungi; Ascomycota; Eurotiomycetes; Eurotiales; Aspergillaceae.